Drosophila teissieri is the source of this 1001-nucleotide long non-coding RNA. RefSeq lists it as uncharacterized. The record is from RefSeq and is a predicted model, not a curated record. Lineage: Eukaryota; Metazoa; Arthropoda; Insecta; Diptera; Drosophilidae. The transcript is spliced from 11 exons.
AAAAAUUUCUUUUAAUUGAAAAUUUGUUUGACGGUAGUGGUUGUUUGCCGGGGGAAAUUACAAAAAUGAAUACUUCAGUGCAAGGCCAUGUGGUCUUAAAUUUUAAAACAAAGAGAAGUUGAAAUAUCAAUCGCAUGCGAACGCAAUGAAUGGAUGAAAAAAUGUAAAAACACGUGGCGAGAGAUGAAGAGAGAGAGAGAGAUAGCCGGCAUUGCACUCCAUGGCUUUGCGAGAAAAGAAGCCGCCAUUUUAUCUUGAAGCGAUUUGGAAAAAUGUGAUCGAGAAUAAUGUGUUGAUUUCGUGAAAGUUCUUCGAUUGCAACUCUUUUAUCAUGAGAUUUAUCUGCUGUCGAAAAACAUUAAAAUGGAUCAGUCGUGGCAUAAGCUUCGACAAGAGUCAACUUAAUGCAGAAGCAAGCUGAAUAAUGAUUUGAAAGCAAUUUAGGUAAGACUUAAUUCAGAUUUUGUAAUUAGCUGCUACAGGUUAAAUGAUGAAUACCUUUAUCUAUUAACUUUCGUUCUACUGAGUGGCAAAUGCUGAUAUAUAUUUUCUGAUACAUAAUACAAAAUCAGCAAUUUGUUGCUAAAAACAUAUAAGAGGUUAUUAACAAUUCCAUUUUUUUUUUACAGACCUGUACCGAUUUCUAUUUCUUGACGGAUUGGACUUAUGAUCAAGAUCGGUUUAAAUGAGUGGAUCUAGACCUAGUUGCUUUAUGAACAUCAUUGGAGGUCCGAACACACUUAAGAAACCUCCCCAAGUCACCAAAAAAAAAUGGACAUGCCUUAAACUCUAAAAGAUUUCUUCGGGCACAUCAUACAAAUAUCCAUUAUUUCUGUAGAAACUUGCAUCUAAUUUAGCCCAAAGAUUUCUUCGGGCACAUCAUACAAAUAUCCAUAAUUUCGGUAGAAACUUGCAUCUAGUUUAGCCCAAAAGGUUUAUCCUCAAAAUGGGCUAAAUAACAAACAUUGUUUUUUGAAAUAAAUGCAACUAAAUAACUGAAA